GACGAACGCUGGCGGCGUGCUUAACACAUGCAAGUCGAACGGAGUGGCGAACGGGUGAGUAACACGUGGGUGAUCUGCCUUGCACUUCGGGAUAAGCUUGGGAAACUGGGUCUAAUACCGGAUAGAGAAAGAUUAGCUCGCGGCCUAUCAGCUCGUUGGGUGGGUAAUGGCCUACCAAGGCGUCGACGGGUAGCCGGCCUGAGAGGGUGUACGGACACAUUGGGAAUGGGAUGCGGCCCAGACGCCGACGGGAGGCAGCAGUGGGGAAAAGUGCACAAGGGGCGGAAGGCUGAUGCAGCGACGCCGCGGGGGGGAUGAAGGCCGUCGGGUUGUAAACUCCUUUCGACAGGGACGCGGUACCUGUAUAAGAAGCGCCGGCUAACUACGUGCCAGCCGCCGCGGUAAUUC
RNAcentral lists this ribosomal RNA (408 nucleotides) under uncultured bacterium. RNAcentral's name for it is "partial 16S ribosomal RNA". It matches the Rfam family "Bacterial small subunit ribosomal RNA", at positions 28 to 526 of the family's 1533-position model. The record is from RNAcentral.